Long non-coding RNA from Notolabrus celidotus (New Zealand spotty), 661 nucleotides. RefSeq lists it as uncharacterized. The record is from RefSeq and is a predicted model, not a curated record. NCBI's taxonomy places the organism in Eukaryota, Metazoa, Chordata, Actinopteri, Labriformes, Labridae. The transcript is spliced from 2 exons.
AAACUGUCCACUCUGGUACAGGCAGAGGUGGCUUUCUUGAACCCGGGGCAAGAGACGCUGACGAAUUGCUUGGUGACGAUCUCUGGAAGCGGUCUCCAGAGAGGAGAGCUGGAAGUCCCACUCGGAGAUCUCCUACCGUCCAGAAGGAUACGCGUCAGGUUCCCCAUCAUCCCCUACAAACUCGGGCUGAGGACGCUCGUCGCCGACUUCGACUGCUCGCUCUUCAGAAAUGUCAAAGGCAGCUGCACUGUCACCGUCAAACCCUGAACUCCCACAAUGUCAGAUUUAUUCUCUCCUCUCUUAGAUUCACGAGUUUCACACUCUGCUGGCUUCACACACCUCUCCUGUUAGGUUGAUGAUUUCAUUUAGUUCCUGGUGUUUUAAAAAUCUGCUCAGAAGUCCUGAGAGCUAACGGGACACAUAAAGCCCGCAGCUAUCUUACGGCUAAAACGCACACGUCUCAUAUAUACGAUGAAUCUCGUCUAUACUCUUUUAUAAAAACUGUGACACUCAUCACACAUCUCUCCUUUCCGCCCUGCUAUCUGGUGUUACAGCGCCUCCUUGUGGCUAAAGAAAAAACUGCUGUGAGUUUGAUUGUGUCUCUAUUUGCUCUGCUUUGUUCAAUAUGUUGACGUGUGCACAAAUAAAAUGUUCACACAAA